RNAcentral lists this ribosomal RNA (482 nucleotides) under Cryptosporidium ubiquitum. Its description in RNAcentral is "SSU rRNA". It matches the Rfam family "Eukaryotic small subunit ribosomal RNA", at positions 567 to 1081 of the family's 1831-position model. Lineage: Eukaryota; Apicomplexa; Conoidasida; Eucoccidiorida; Cryptosporidiidae. The record is from RNAcentral.
CCAGCAGCCGCGGUAAUUCCAGCUCCAAUAGCGUAUAUUAAAGUUGUUGCAGUUAAAAAGCUCGUAGUUGGAUUUCUGUUAAUAAUUUAUAUAUAAUAUUUUAUUAAUAUUUAUAUAGUAUUAACAUAAUUCAUAUUACUAUAUUUUAUAGUAUAUGAAAUUUUACUUUGAGAAAAUUAGAGUGCUUAAAGCAGGCAUUAGCCUUGAAUACUCCAGCAUGGAAUAAUAUAAAAGAUUUUUAUCUUUUUUAUUGGUUCUAAGAUAAAAAUAAUGAUUAAUAGGGACAGUUGGGGGCAUUUGUAUUUAACAGUCAGAGGUGAAAUUCUUAGAUUUGUUAAAGACAAACUAGUGCGAAAGCAUUUGCCAAGGAUGUUUUCAUUAAUCAAGAACGAAAGUUAGGGGAUCGAAGACGAUCAGAUACCGUCGUAGUCUUAACCAUAAACUAUGCCAACUAGAGAUUGGAGGUUGUUCCUUACUCCUUC